UACGUAGGGUGCAAGCGUUAAUCGGAAUUACUGGGCGUAAAGCGUGCGCAGGCGGUUUUGUAAGUCUGACGUGAAAUCCCCGGGCUUAACCUGGGAAUUGCGUUGGAGACUGCAAGGCUGGAAUCUGGCAGAGGGGGGUAGAAUUCCACGUGUAGCAGUGAAAUGCGUAGAGAUGUGGAGGAACACCGAUGGCGAAGGCAGCCCCCUGGGUCAAGAUUGACGCUCAUGCACGAAAGCGUGGGGAGCAAACAGG
Molecule: ribosomal RNA, 253 nt
Filed under: uncultured bacterium
Lineage: Bacteria
Description: partial 16S ribosomal RNA
Rfam family: Bacterial small subunit ribosomal RNA
Source: RNAcentral